UAGUUGCUAUGAUAUUGGUCCGGUUCACUCAGAUCACUACCCUAAAUUGACUAGGGUUUCAUUUGAAGUUUAAAUUGAGUCUGAUUGAGCCGCGCCAAUAUCUCAGUGCUCUUU
Molecule: non-coding RNA, 114 nt
Organism: Cucumis melo (muskmelon)
Lineage: Eukaryota; Viridiplantae; Streptophyta; Magnoliopsida; Cucurbitales; Cucurbitaceae
Source: Rfam